RNAcentral lists this transfer RNA (74 nucleotides) under Patescibacteria group bacterium. Its description in RNAcentral is "tRNA-His". It matches the Rfam family "tRNA". Rfam says of the family: Transfer RNA (tRNA) molecules are approximately 80 nucleotides in length. Their secondary structure includes four short double-helical elements and three loops (D, anti-codon, and T loops). The record is from RNAcentral.
GUGCCCAUAGCUUAAUGGUAGAGCCUCCCGCUGUGGCCGGGAUGAUACGGGUUCAAUCCCCGUUGGGCACCCCA